AGCUUAGAAAUACACAAAAGUGUGUAUAAAGCAGAAGUUAGAACAGUUGAGUUAGAGAAUAGGGUAGCUGAGAAUGAGUUUAGUUGAGCUGAGGACAAAUUUGUUAAUUCCUACCCAAAAGAAGUUUAUUCUUUUGGGUUUAUUUU
This is a non-coding RNA of Bacillus atrophaeus str. Dugway, 146 nucleotides long. The record is from Rfam. Lineage: Bacteria; Bacillati; Bacillota; Bacilli; Caryophanales; Bacillaceae.